CCCAAGACUGAUUGCCCACUGAAACUAAGCAGGGUUGAGCCUGGUCAGUACCUGGAUGGGAGACCUCCUGGGAAAACUAGGUUGCUGUUGGAA
This 93-nucleotide ribosomal RNA is filed under the name Sinocyclocheilus anshuiensis. Lineage: Eukaryota; Metazoa; Chordata; Actinopteri; Cypriniformes; Cyprinidae. The record is from RNAcentral.